RNAcentral lists this long non-coding RNA (458 nucleotides) under Ursus maritimus (polar bear). RNAcentral describes it as "lncRNA (ENSUMAG00000010959.1)". The record is from RNAcentral. Lineage: Eukaryota; Metazoa; Chordata; Mammalia; Carnivora; Ursidae.
UCUCCCCCUUGUGCCCCCACUAUUUCUCUCUCUCUCACACACACACACUGAUAUUCUCUGGCAUUUGUCCUCCCAGUCAGAGUCCUAAAAUGUCUCCUGCCUUCUCUUGGCGAGGCCGCUAGUCUGCAGGCUGGGCCUCCCUCCGCAGCGUGCCUCACCUGGGCCUGGUCGGCCCUCCGGGUCAUUGCCCCAGCUGGCAAAGGCAAUGUGUCCAGGACACCUUCACAGCCAUUCUCAGCUCGAUCGUCACAGUGGUUGGGGGAAGCCAACGGCAGAACAGCCACCAGGCGACGUGCCAUACAGAGCCAUGAGCCACCAGAUCCUGCUGCUCCUGGCCGUGCUGACCCUGGGCCUGGCCACCUCCCAACAGCGAGACAAGGUGCCCUGUAAGAUGGGGCCAAUCCGGACCAGGCCGUGGAAGGCCAGGCCACUGAUGGAAGUGGGGCAGGUGGCAGCAG